Molecule: long non-coding RNA, 2078 nt
Filed under: Zonotrichia albicollis (white-throated sparrow)
Lineage: Eukaryota; Metazoa; Chordata; Aves; Passeriformes; Passerellidae
Description: lncRNA (ENSZALG00000009183.1)
Source: RNAcentral
UGGGUCAGGCCCUGGGCAGGGAGGAGGAGGUCGAGGUGGUGGCCAGGCAUGAAGCCCAGGUGAGCAGAGAGGCCAUGGUGGCUGCCAGCGAGGCAACAAGGGCCAUCAUGGUGAGACAGCGGGUGGAGGCGUCCCUGGGGCUGCUGGAGCGCUUGGUGGCCGCGUGUGACGAAGCCACUGCCUUACCCCGGGAGCUGCAGCGCAGGGUUGGGGACAUCAAGGCCGCCCUGAUAUGGACAAAUGAGGGAUUCUUUGAUAUCCUCGAGGACUGGGUGGCCAAGGGGGCCGAAGCCGAGCAGCUGUGGGAGGCCAACGCCCGCCUGGCCAAGGAUCACCUGCUGGGGGCAGUUCCAGACACCAUCCAGUUGUUCACUGGUGGUCGCACCAGCCCCAGUGCCUGUGGGGUGGCCGAGAGGUGCCAAUGAGCCACCGAGGACAUCCCAAGGCUCCUUCGACCCCCGGAGUGUCCCCAGAGUGUCCCUAGUGAGCCUGGAGCUCCAAAAUGUGUCCCCUCCUCAGCUGCUGGAGGCUCUGGUGUCUGUGGUGGCCACCCUGGGUGACGUGGUGGCCACUGUGACUGGGCCACGCCAGGGCGUGCGGUGCUGUGUGCCCCCAAAGUCCCUGCAUGUGGCCCUGAGGAUCUUCACCUGGAGCCUCUGUAAGGGCCUGGAACACCCCGGUGUCACCUCCCUGGGCCAGCCCCUGGCCACCCUCGGGGCCACCCCGAGGGCCACCUGGGCCAAUGUGAGAGCCACGGGCAGCACCUGGUGGGAGUUGGUGUCUGCACUUGAGAAGAGCUGGGACCAGGUGGCCAGGGAGGCCACUGAGCUCCGUGACACCUGCGAGAACACAGCCCCUGCCCGGACCAGGGACCCACAGGACAAGGCCACCCACAGGGGGACAGCUGAGGACAACCUGGCAGCCACAGCCCACCAGCUCAUGGUGGCCCUGGACAGGGAUGGGGAGGCCUCAGUGGGGGCCACACGUGAUGCCCAGAUGGCAAUGGCCCCCAGCGAGGCCAUGGAAGAGAAUAUGGUGGCCACCAGGCGGGCGAGGGCAGCCAUCAGGAGGAGACCUUGGGCAGAGGUGGCCCUGGAGUCGCUGCAGCGCUUGGUGGCCACCUGUGACAGAGCCAGGUUGUUCCUCUCGGAACUGCAGUGCGGGCUUGGGGAAGUCAAGGCUGCCCUGGAGGGGACAAAUGAUGCAUCCCCCGAUGUCCCUGAGGCCUUGGUGGCUGUGGUGGCCAAGUUUGAGCAGCUGUGGGAGGCCAGCGCCCACCUGUUCAAGCAUCACCUGCUGGGGACACUUGGGGACAUCCAUGACCUCCUCUUGAGUCCCUAUGAUGGCCGCGGUGGCCCCAAUGGCCCUGGCAUCCGUGCGGUGGCCGAGCGGUGCCAAAAAGCCAUCGAGGACAUCCCGAGGCUGCUGCAGAGACAGUGAUGUCACCACUGUGAUGUCAUCAUGGCAGUGACAUCAUUGGGGACAUGGCUGCUGUCACCUGUGCCCUCCCCGUGCAGUAUUUGAGAUAAAUCUGGGGAAUUUUCAUUGAAAUUGCCCCAAUCCUCAUGGGAAUUCCUGGAUUGACAUCUCUGGGGACACUCAGGGGACACUCAGGGACAGUCUGGGGACACUCAGGGACACUUGGGACACUCAGAGAUACUCAGGGACACACUGAUGACACUCAGGGACAGGGACAGGGUUGAAUGAGUCCCCUCAGCAGCUUCCAGGUUUCCACUGUGCCCGCAGAUCAGCUGGAUCAUAAAUGACAAUUUAAUAAUUGCCUUUUGCAUUUUUUGAUUUCCUUUUGCACAUUGUUAUUAAUCACAAACAAUUUGAUACGGUAUUUGAUACUGAUAUUGAUUAUCGGUGAUUCCUUGUAGCUGCUGGUUGUUGCAAUAUAAUCUGUUAGUUCAUGUGUGCACCGUACAGCCUGUAAGUUAAUUAAUUAACUAAAUAAUUAAUAAUAUCGUCUAUAUAAAUCAGACCAGGCUCAUCUGAACUCUGUGUCAGACACAUCACUGACCCCAUUGAGAGUCAAGUGGUCAAUAAAUCCAUCCCAAACUUCCUUGGGGGGAGCA